CCUACGGGGUGCAGCAGUGGGGGAUAUUGCACAAUGGGGGGAACCCUGAUGCAGCGACGCCGCGUGGGUGAAGAAGCGCCUCGGCGCGUAAAGCCCUGUCAGCAGGGAAGAAAAUGACGGUACCUGAAGAAGAAGCCCCGGCUCACUACGAGCCAGCAGCCGCGGUAAUACGUAGGGGGCAAGCGUUAUCCGGAUUUACUGGGUGGAAAGGGGGCGCAGACGGCGAUGCAAGCCAGGAGUGAAAGCCCGGGGCCCAACCCCGGGACUGCUCUUGGAACUGCGUGGCUGGAGUGCAGGAGGGGCAGGCGGAAUUCCUGGUGUAGCGGUGAAAUGCGUAGAUAUCAGGCGGAACACCGGUGGCGAAGGCGGCCUGCUGGACUGCAACUGACGUUGAGGCCCGAACGCGUGGGGAGCAAACAGGAUUAGAUACCCGUGUAGUC
This 440-nucleotide ribosomal RNA is filed under the name uncultured bacterium. RNAcentral describes it as "partial 16S ribosomal RNA". It matches the Rfam family "Bacterial small subunit ribosomal RNA", at positions 338 to 795 of the family's 1533-position model. The record is from RNAcentral.